Molecule: long non-coding RNA, 385 nt
Organism: Epinephelus fuscoguttatus (brown-marbled grouper)
Lineage: Eukaryota; Metazoa; Chordata; Actinopteri; Perciformes; Serranidae
Exons: 3
Source: RefSeq, a predicted model, not a curated record
AAAAAGCUAUGCUAGCGUUAGCUUUGACGUUUCAUUUAACGUCUAUUUUAAUUUUGGUACUAUAUUUCUUUUGUCAUUAUAAAUUUAUUUAAUUCGCUGUCACAAACGUAUCAAAUUACCUUCGUCUACCAAGAGCCUCAUUCAGCCCAAAACCUUCUGAAAACUUUGAGGAGUGCAAUGGGACAGAGACACCGAGUGGACUGGCUAUUCUGGGAGUGGACUUAUAUCAUGCACUGAGAAGCUGAACCUGCAGCAGAUUGAGGACCUCACCAUGCACAGGACUCACAGAAUGACGUUCACACAGCCGUCCGGCGUGUUCCUGGAACAGGAAAUACACCAGAGAGCAUGGCGAGAUGGAGAUGUGUCCACUCCUCCGUGGGGUCAG